CCGUUGCAGAGCACAGGCUGCGGACGCGCAGGCUCAGCGGCCAUGGCUCAUGGGCCCAGCCGCUCCGCGACAUGUGGAAUCUUCCCGGACCGGGGCACGAACCCGUGUCCCCUGCAUCGGCAGGUGGACCCUCAACCACUGCGCCACCAGGGAAGCCCUCCCCACCACACACCCCAAGGAAAGUACAGAAGAACAUAAAAAAGCAGGAAAAAUUUACUCAUAAUCCUAUUAUCCCAUCAAUCAUAGUGCGAAGAUAUUGGAACAUUUACUUCGAGCCAUUUUUCUGUGCCCCACACUUUACAUAAAAUGUUAGCAAUGCCCGAGACCAAGAUUAGAAGCAACAAGUUCCAUGGAGAAAGACUGAAGCCCAAUGUGACGAGCAGCUUGGAUGAGCCUGCCCUGGAAGGAAUCGACAGUAACUUGCACAACAUCACACAACUAGCAAGUGGCAGAACUAAGAUCUGAGCUCAAGCCUGCCCGAGUCGAAAACUUACACUUUAUGCACCAAGCCCUGUGAAUCAGAAGUCUGGUGCAGGACUGGCGGAAUCAGGAGGCACCUUCGUGGGGUGAUGUGAAGGGGCCUGACAUCUGAGUCUUGCUUCUCUGGAUGAGGCACUGUGGGUCUAUUAUUCAUUUAUAUCUCAGAGCUGUGCUGUCUGUUGCAGCCACCAGCCGCACGUGGCCACCGAACACUGGAACAAUGGCCGGUCCAAAUUGAGACGGGCCGUAAGUGUAAAACACACAUUGCAUUUCAAAGACUCGGUAUAAAAAAUAGAACGGAAAAUAUCUCACAAUUAGUUUUUCAUAGUUAUGAUAUGCUAAAAUGAGAAUGUUUU
Molecule: long non-coding RNA, 836 nt
Organism: Lagenorhynchus albirostris (white-beaked dolphin)
Lineage: Eukaryota; Metazoa; Chordata; Mammalia; Artiodactyla; Delphinidae
Exons: 4
Source: RefSeq, a predicted model, not a curated record